Molecule: ribosomal RNA, 300 nt
Filed under: Streptomyces sp.
Lineage: Bacteria; Bacillati; Actinomycetota; Actinomycetes; Kitasatosporales; Streptomycetaceae
Description: bacterial SSU rRNA
Rfam family: Bacterial small subunit ribosomal RNA
Source: RNAcentral
GACGCAACGCGAAGAACCUUACCAAGGCUUGACAUACACCGGAAACGUCUGGAGACAGGCGCCCCCUUGUGGUCGGUGUACAGGUGGUGCAUGGCUGUCGUCAGCUCGUGUCGUGAGAUGUUGGGUUAAGUCCCGCAACGAGCGCAACCCUUGUUCUGUGUUGCCAGCAUGCCCUUCGGGGUGAUGGGGACUCACAGGAGACUGCCGGGGUCAACUCGGAGGAAGGUGGGGACGACGUCAAGUCAUCAUGCCCCUUAUGUCUUGGGCUGCACACGUGCUACAAUGGCCGGUACAAUGAGC